CAGCGUCCUGAGGUGACGAUGUAUCUAUUGGUUUAUGUUGAUGAUAUCAUCCUUGUCAGUUCCUCUGAUGCUGCUGCUGAUCGCCUUGUGUCUGCGUUGAGUGAGGAGUUUGAUGUCAAGGAUUUGGGUGCCCUGCAUUACUUCCUUGGUUUGGAGGUAUCCCGGUCUUCUGCUGGGUUGACUCUGACUCAGAAGAAGUAUUCUUUGGAUUUGUUGCGUCGUGCUGGGAUGCUCAAAUGCAAACAUGCUAUCACUCCGAUGUCUGCGACUGAUCGGUUGUCUGCUCUUGAUGGAGAUCUUCUUUCCACUGAUGACGCCACUGAGUAUCGCAGUCUUGUUGGCGGUCUGCAAUAUCUCACUAUCACCAGGCCUGAUGUCUCUUAUGCAGUCAACCGUGUGUGCCAGUACCUUCAUGCACCUCGUACCACUCAUUUCUCGGCAGUUAAGCGCAUUCUGCGGUAUGUCUCUUCCACUGCCUCGUAUGGUCUGCUCCUUCAGUCUGCACCGUCUUGUGAACUUUCGGCUUUCUCUGAUGCGGAUUGGGCUGGAAGUCCUGAUGAUCGGCGAUCCACGGGGGGAUAUGCAGUGUUCUUUGGUCCUAACUUGAUCGCCUGGAAUGCUUGCAAGCAAGCCACCGUGUCUCGUAGCAGUACUGAAGCUGAGUAUAAAGCAGUUGCUGAUGCCACCGCUGAGAUCAUAUGGGUACAGUCCUUAUUGCGGGAGUUGAGAAUCUCUCCAGGUCAUCCUCCAGUUCUGUGGUGUGACAACAUUGGUGCUACAUACCUUUCAUCUAAUCCGGUGUUUCAUGCUAGGACGAAACACAUUGAGGUUGACUAUCACUUUGUUCGGGAAUGUGUUGCACAGAGACUACUUUGUAUC
This 879-nucleotide ribosomal RNA is filed under the name Triticum aestivum (bread wheat). RNAcentral describes it as "partial small subunit ribosomal RNA". Lineage: Eukaryota; Viridiplantae; Streptophyta; Magnoliopsida; Poales; Poaceae. The record is from RNAcentral.